RNAcentral lists this transfer RNA (76 nucleotides) under Coriobacteriaceae bacterium. RNAcentral's name for it is "tRNA-Arg". It matches the Rfam family "tRNA". Rfam says of the family: Transfer RNA (tRNA) molecules are approximately 80 nucleotides in length. Their secondary structure includes four short double-helical elements and three loops (D, anti-codon, and T loops). RNAcentral also lists the same sequence under 4 other names. The record is from RNAcentral. Lineage: Bacteria; Bacillati; Actinomycetota; Coriobacteriia; Coriobacteriales; Coriobacteriaceae.
GCGCCCAUAGCUCAGUGGAUAGAGCACCGGUCUUCUAAACCGAUGGUCGACGGUUCGAAUCCGCCUGGGCGCACCA